This 490-nucleotide ribosomal RNA is filed under the name uncultured bacterium. RNAcentral describes it as "partial 16S ribosomal RNA". It matches the Rfam family "Bacterial small subunit ribosomal RNA", at positions 30 to 507 of the family's 1533-position model. The record is from RNAcentral.
AUUGAACGCUGGCGGCAGGCCUAACACAUGCAAGUCGAACGGUAACAGGAAGAAGCUUGCUUCUUUGCUGACGAGUGGCGGACGGGUGAGUAAUGUCUGGGAAACUGCCUGAUGGAGGGGGAUAACUACUGGAAACGGUAGCUAAUACCGCAUAACGUCGCAAGACCAAAGAGGGGGACCUUCGGGCCUCUUGCCAUCGGAUGUGUCCAGAUGGGAUCAGCUAGUAGGUGGGGUAACGGCUCACCUAGGCGACGAUCCCUAGCUGGUCUGAGAGGAUGACCAGCCACACUGGAACUGAGACACGGUCCAGACUCCUACGGGAGGCAGCAGUGGGGAAUAUUGCACAAUGGGCGCAAGCCUGAUGCAGCCAUGCCGCGUGUAUGAAGAAGGCCUUCGGGUUGUAAAGUACUUUCAGCGGGGAGGAAGGGAGUAAAGUUAAUACCUUUGCUCAUUGACGUUACCCGCAGAAGAAGCACCGGCUAACUCCGUG